This 305-nucleotide ribosomal RNA is filed under the name uncultured bacterium. RNAcentral describes it as "bacterial SSU rRNA". It matches the Rfam family "Bacterial small subunit ribosomal RNA", at positions 337 to 659 of the family's 1533-position model. The record is from RNAcentral.
UCCUACGGGGGGCAGCAGUGGGGAAUAUUGCACAAUGGGGGAAACCCUGAUGCAGCGACGCCGCGUGAAGGAAGAAGUAUUUCGGUAUGUAAACUUCUAUCAGCAGGGAAGAAAAUGACGGUACCUGACUAAGAAGCCCCGGCUAACUACGUGCCAGCAGCCGCGGUAAUACGUAGGGGGCAAGCGUUAUCCGGAUUUACUGGGUGUAAAGGGAGCGUAGGCGGUGAUGCAAGUCAGAAGUGAAAGCCCGCAGCUCAACUGCGGGACUGCUUUUGAAACUGUAUGACUAGAUUGCAGGAGAGGUA